CAGAGGGUAGUUUAAUAAAAAUAUCAGUUUUGGGUAUUGAUGAUGGAGAAAAUCUUUUCCUCUGA
RNAcentral lists this transfer RNA (65 nucleotides) under Margattea multipunctata. Its description in RNAcentral is "tRNA-Pro". The record is from RNAcentral. Lineage: Eukaryota; Metazoa; Arthropoda; Insecta; Blattodea; Pseudophyllodromiidae.